AUAAGUCUAUCCUGGCCCACUGAAAAUUUAAAGGGCCGCGGUAAACUAACUGUGCAAAGGUAGCAUAAUCAUUAGUUUUUUAAUUGAAGGCUUGUAUGAAUGGUUGGACAAGAAUUAAACUGUCUUUAUAUUUUGAAAUUUAACUUUACUUUUAAGUGAAAAGGCUUAAAUGUUUUUAAGGGACGAUAAGACCCUAUAAAUCUUUAUGGGAAGUAAUUUAGUUAAAAAAAUAAUAGUUAAGAUUUUAAUUUAAUUAUUUACCAUUGUGCUGGGGCGGUGUUAAUAUUUAGUAAACUGUUAAUCUUUUUUACAAAUAAUUUGUCUAUUUAAUUGAUCUUUUAUAAAAAUAAAGAGUUUAAGUUACUUUAGGGAUAACAGCG
RNAcentral lists this ribosomal RNA (380 nucleotides) under Pisidia longicornis. RNAcentral describes it as "partial 16S ribosomal RNA". The record is from RNAcentral. Lineage: Eukaryota; Metazoa; Arthropoda; Malacostraca; Decapoda; Porcellanidae.